GUUAGGUAAAUCCGGCUCUCUCUAAGGCUGAGACACGACGUCGAGCUGCUACGGCAGUGAAGUCAUUGAUGCCAUGCUUCCAGGAAAAGCCUCUAAGCUUCAGAUAGUCAGGAAUCGUACCCCAAACCGACACAGGUGGUCGGGUAGAGAAUACCAAGGCGCUUGAGAGAACUCGGGUGAAGGAACUAGGCAAAAUGGUACCGUAACUUCGGGAGAAGGUACGCUCUUGAUGGUGAAGUCCCUCGCGGAUGGAGCUGACGAGAGUCGCAGAUACCAGGUGGCUGCAACUGUUUAUUAAAAACACAGCACUGUGCAAAAUCGCAAGAUGACGUAUACGGUGUGACGCCUGCCCGGUGCCGGAAGGUUAAUUGAUGGGGUUAGCGCAAGCGAAGCUCUUGAUCGAAGCCCCGGUAAACGGCGGCCGUAACUAUAACGGUCCUAAGGUAGCGAAAUUCCUUGUCGGGUAAGUUCCGACCUGCACGAAUGGCGUAAUGAUGGCCACGCUGUCUCCACCCGAGACUCAGUGAAAUUGAAAUCGCUGUGAAGAUGCAGUGUACCCGCGGCUAGACGGAAAGACCCCGUGAACCUUUACUACAGCUUGGCACUGAACAUUGAACCUACAUGUGUAGGAUAGGUGGGAGGCUAUGAAGACGUGACGCCAGUUGCGUUGGAGCCGUCCUUGAAAUACCACCCUUGUAUGUUUGAUGUUCUAACUUAGACCCAUUAUCUGGGUUGAGGACAGUGCCUGGUGGGUAGUUUGACUGGGGCGGUCUCCUCCCAAAGAGUAACGGAGGAGCACGAAGGUGGGCUAAUCACGGUUGGACAUCGUGAGGUUAGUGCAAUGGCAUAAGCCCGCUUAACUGCGAGAAUGACGGUUCGAGCAGGUGCGAAAGCAGGUCAUAGUGAUCCGGUGGUUCUGUAUGGAAGGGCCAUCGCUCAACGGAUAAAAGGUACUCCGGGGAUAACAGGCUGAUACCGCCCAAGAGUUCAUAUCGACGGCGGUGUUUGGCACCUCGAUGUCGGCUCAUCACAUCCUGGGGCUGAAGUCGGUCCCAAGGGUAUGGCUGUUCGCCAUUUAAAGUGGUACGCGAGCUGGGUUUAGAACGUCGUGAGACAGUUCGGUCCCUAUCUGCCGUGGGCGUUGGAAGAUUGAAGGGGGCUGCUCCUAGUACGAGAGGACCGGAGUGGACGAACCUCUGGUGUUCGGGUUGUGUCGCCAGACGCAUUGCCCGGUAGCUAAGUUCGGAAUUGAUAAGCGCUGAAAGCAUCUAAGCGCGAAGCGAGCCCUGAGAUGAGUCUUCCCUGAUACUUUAAGUAUCCUAAAGGGUUGUUCGAGACUAGAACGUUGAUAGGCAGGGUGUGUAAGCGUUGUGAGGCGUUGAGCUAACCUGUACUAAUUGCCCGUGAGGCUUAACCAU
Molecule: ribosomal RNA, 1418 nt
Filed under: Vibrio cholerae HC-50A1
Lineage: Bacteria; Pseudomonadati; Pseudomonadota; Gammaproteobacteria; Vibrionales; Vibrionaceae
Also listed under: 2 other names
Description: bacterial LSU rRNA
Rfam family: Bacterial large subunit ribosomal RNA
Source: RNAcentral